RNAcentral lists this unclassified non-coding RNA (352 nucleotides) under Yersinia enterocolitica (type O:5) str. YE53/03. Lineage: Bacteria; Pseudomonadati; Pseudomonadota; Gammaproteobacteria; Enterobacterales; Yersiniaceae. The record is from RNAcentral.
ACCGAUGAUGGCGACUAUCAGGUCAAACUACGCAACCUGAUUCGCUUUCUGGAAGAUGGCGAUAAAGCCAAAAUCACUCUGCGAUUCCGUGGACGUGAGAUGGCGCACCAACAGAUCGGCAUGGAAGUUCUUAACCGUGUCAAAAAAGAUCUGACUGAGGAUUCUGAUUUGGCUGUAGUGGAGUCUUUCCCGACUCGUAUCGAAGGUCGUCAGAUGAUCAUGGUGCUCGCACCUAAGAAGAGACAGUAAGGCAUUCAAGUAAUAGGCCUCUCUUUGCUUGCAAAGUAGAAGGUCUAUUCGCCUAGCUAGCUCGUUGUAAUUAACAAUGCGAAGUGGAUAUAUUCAAUGCCAA